Molecule: ribosomal RNA, 433 nt
Filed under: uncultured bacterium
Lineage: Bacteria
Description: partial 16S ribosomal RNA
Rfam family: Bacterial small subunit ribosomal RNA
Source: RNAcentral
AACGAACGCUGGCGGCAUGCCUAACACAUGCAAGUCGAACGAGACCUUCGGGUCUAGUGGCGCACGGGUGCGUAACGCGUGGGAACCUGCCCUUAGGUUCGGAAUAACUCCCCGAAAGGGGUGCUAAUACCGGAUAAUGUCUUCGGACCAAACAUUUAUCGCCUUUGGAUGGGCCCGCGUUGGAUUAGCUAGUUGGUAGGGUAAAAGCCUACCAAGGCGACGAUCCAUAGCUGGUCUGAGAGGAUGAUCAGCCACACUGGGACUGAGACACGGCCCAGACUCCUACGGGAGGCAGCAGUGGGGAAUAUUGGACAAUGGGCGAAAGCCUGAUCCAGCAAUGCCGCGUGAGUGAUGAAGGCCUUAGGGUUGUAAAGCUCUUUUACCCGGGAUGAUAAUGACAGUACCGGGAGAAUAAGCGCCGGCUAACUCCGUG